RNAcentral lists this ribosomal RNA (519 nucleotides) under uncultured eukaryote. RNAcentral's name for it is "SSU rRNA". It matches the Rfam family "Eukaryotic small subunit ribosomal RNA", at positions 1161 to 1702 of the family's 1831-position model. The record is from RNAcentral.
AGGGCACCACCAGGAGUGGAGCCUGCGGCUUAAUUUGACUCAACACGGGAAAUCUCACCAGGCCCGGACACCGGAAGGAUUGACAGAUUGAGAGCUCUUUCUUGAUUCGGUGGGUGGUGGUGCAUGGCCGUUCUUAGUUGGUGGGGCGAUUUGUCUGGUUAAUUCCGAUAACGAACGAGACUCUGGCCUACUAACUAGACGUUGGAUCCCUUUGUGGGUCCAUCGCAGCUUCUUAGAGGGACGGGCGGCGUUUAGCCGCACGAGAUUGAGCAAUAACAGGUCUGUGAUGCCCUUAGAUGUUCUGGGCUGCACGCGCGCUACACUGAAGGAAUCAGCGUGUGUUCCCUAUCCGAAAGGAUUGGGAAACCCGUUGAACCUCCUUCGUGAUGGGGAUUGGGGAUUGCAAUUAUUCCCCAUGAACGAGGAAUUCCCAGUAGGCGCGAGCCAUAAGCUUGCGUCGAUUACGUCCCUGCCCUUUGUACACACCGCCCGCCGCUACUACCGAUCGAGUGAUUUAGU